RNAcentral lists this ribosomal RNA (451 nucleotides) under uncultured bacterium. RNAcentral's name for it is "SSU rRNA". It matches the Rfam family "Bacterial small subunit ribosomal RNA", at positions 26 to 518 of the family's 1533-position model. The record is from RNAcentral.
AGGAUGAACGCUGGCGGCGUGCCUAAAACAUGCAAGUCAUACGGGCUACCUUCGGGUAGCCAGUGGCAAACGGGUGAGUAACACGUGGGAACGCGCCUUGGGGUGGGGAAUAACGCUGAGAAAUCAGUGCUAAUACCGCAUAUGGUCUAACGACUAAAGCAGCAAUGCGCCCCGAGAGCGGCCCGCGACCGAUUAGCUAGUUGGUGGGGUAAUGGCCUACCAAGGCGGUGAUCGGUAGCUGGUCUGAGAGGAUGGUCAGCCACACUGGGACUGCGAACGGCCCAGACUCCUACGGGAGGCAGCAGUUAGGAAUUUUCGGCAAUGGACGAAAGUCUGACCGAGCGACGCCGCGUGGAGGAUGACGCCUUUCGGGGUGUAAACUCCUUUUCUGCGGGAAGAUAAUGACGGUACCGCAGGAAUAAGCACCGGCUAACUACGCGCCAGCAGCCGC